GAUGAACGCUAGCUACAGGCUUAACACAUGCAAGUCGAGGGGCAGCAUGGUCUUAGCUUGCUAAGGCCGAUGGCGACCGGCGCACGGGUGAGUAACACGUAUCCAACCCGCCGUCUACUCUUGGACAGCCUUCUGAAAGGAAGAUUAAUACAAGAUGGCAUCAUGAGUCCGCAUGUUCACAUGUUUAAAGGUAUUCCGGUAGACGAUGGGGAUGCGUUCCAUUAGAUAGUAGGCGGGGUAACGGCCCACCUAGUCUUCGAUGGAUAGGGGUUCUGAGAGGAAGGUCCCCCACAUUGGAACUGAGACACGGUCCAAACUCCUACGGGAGGCAGCAGUGAGGAAUAUUGGUCAAUGGGCGAGAGCCUGAACCAGCCAAGUAGCGUGAAGGAUGACUGCCCUAUGGGUUGUAAACUUCUUUUAUAAAGGAAUAAAGUCGGGUAUGCAUACCCGUUUGCAUGUACUUUAUGAAUAAGGAUCGGCUAACUCCGUGCCAGCCGCCGCAGUAA
This 506-nucleotide ribosomal RNA is filed under the name uncultured bacterium. RNAcentral describes it as "partial 16S ribosomal RNA". It matches the Rfam family "Bacterial small subunit ribosomal RNA", at positions 28 to 523 of the family's 1533-position model. The record is from RNAcentral.